GGAUGAACGCUGGCGGCGUGCCUAAUGCAUGCAAGUCGAGCGAACGGCCGAGAAGCUUGCUUCUCUGAUGUUAGCGGCGGACGGGUGAGUAACACGUGGAUAACCUACCUAUAAGACUGGGAUAACUUCGGGAAACCGGAGCUAAUACCGGAUAAUAUUUUGAACCGCAUGGUUCAAAAGUGAAAGACGGUCUUGCUGUCACUUAUAGAUGGAUCCGCGCUGCAUUAGCUAGUUGGUAAGGUAACGGCUUACCAAGGCAACGAUGCAUAGCCGACCUGAGAGGGUGAUCGGCCACACUGGAACUGAGACACGGCCCAGACUCCUACGGGAGGCAGCAGUAGGGAAUCUUCCGCAAUGGGCGAAAGCCUGACGGAGCAACGCCGCGUGAGUGAUGAAGGUCUUCGGAUCGUAAAACUCUGUUAUUAGGGAAGAACAUAUGUGUAAGUAACUGUGCACAUCUUGACGGUACCUAAUCAGAAAGCCACGGCUAACUACGUG
RNAcentral lists this ribosomal RNA (498 nucleotides) under uncultured bacterium. RNAcentral describes it as "partial 16S ribosomal RNA". It matches the Rfam family "Bacterial small subunit ribosomal RNA", at positions 27 to 507 of the family's 1533-position model. The record is from RNAcentral.